RNAcentral lists this ribosomal RNA (492 nucleotides) under uncultured bacterium. Its description in RNAcentral is "partial 16S ribosomal RNA". It matches the Rfam family "Bacterial small subunit ribosomal RNA", at positions 29 to 507 of the family's 1533-position model. The record is from RNAcentral.
AGUGAACGCUGGCGGUAGGCCUAACACAUGCAAGUCGAACGGCAGCACAGUAAGAGCUUGCUCUUACGGGUGGCGAGUGGCGGACGGGUGAGGAAUACAUCGGAAUCUACUUUUUCGUGGGGGAUAACGUAGGGAAACUUACGCUAAUACCGCAUACGACCUACGGGUGAAAGCAGGGGAUCUUCGGACCUUGCGCGAUUGAAUGAGCCGAUGUCGGAUUAGCUAGUUGGCGGGGUAAAGGCCCACCAAGGCGACGAUCCGUAGCUGGUCUGAGAGGAUGAUCAGCCACACUGGAACUGAGACACGGUCCAGACUCCUACGGGAGGCAGCAGUGGGGAAUAUUGGACAAUGGGCGCAAGCCUGAUCCAGCCAUACCGCGUGGGUGAAGAAGGCCUUCGGGUUGUAAAGCCUUUUUGUUGGGAAAGAAAAGCAGCAGGUUAAUACCCCGCUGUUCUGACGGUACCCAAAGAGUAAGCACCGGCUAACUUCGUG